Hemicordylus capensis (graceful crag lizard) is the source of this 5534-nucleotide long non-coding RNA. RefSeq lists it as uncharacterized. The record is from RefSeq and is a predicted model, not a curated record. Lineage: Eukaryota; Metazoa; Chordata; Lepidosauria; Squamata; Cordylidae. The transcript is spliced from 6 exons.
UGGGGUUGCACUGCAGCCGAGAUCAGGCUGAAAAUGGCCUCUGCUUGGGAGCUGCUGUAGUGACGCAGAGAGUAAGGAACCUAAGCCCUUUUGCCAGAAUCCUCUGUUUUACAGCCCUGGCACCUUACUUCCAAGAAAACUUGCUCAAACACUUCCUCUUUGGGCCUUGAAACACUGGUGGAGGCACUUCUGACUGUAGCUUUUUAUACCUAAAUUAAGAACUCAGACUGAUUCCACAAUCUGAACUGGAGCUCAUUUUGGAAAAUGACACACAGAGACUGGAGAUCUGCGUCAGCAGGGGUAAAUGACACAGAUGGCGACCUGAGCAAGCCCAAGAAGACUACAUUGUUAUUUUGAAAGGAGUGGGGAAAAGAUCUCAUCUUUUCCUGGGUGUCCAAAAAGACCACGCCCUCAGUCAUGGAAAGGGAUGAAAUGAGUGAAAAGCAAGCAAUACCACUUCUAUGGAAUUCUAUGGAAAGACCAAUCAGAAACUCAAGCCAGGAGAGAGAGAGAGACUGAUAAUAGCAAGUUCUACUGGAAUGUAGUAAAGUGAAUACAUUUCUCCCAUCUGGACUCCUUCUCUUCCACCUACAUCCAGAAUACAUAUUUUGAGGAAAUGAAACAGCUACCAUUUCCACUCUUAUGUUGCAAUCUGAAGAUAAGUCAGAGCAGAGCCAGACAAAACUGCCCAUGAAAUGGACUUGCAUGAAGAUUGAUUGUUAUGGAGAGCAGCUUCUAACAUAUCUAGGAUGGCAUCAUAUUGCUGGACAACCUUUUUUGCACCUUGACUUAAGCAUGCCACCGUAAAUUGCUUUCCUGCUCUGUACGAGCAGAUUCUGUCAAGUUAAGAUUUCUUGCAUUCAAUGAAAAAUCAAUCUGUAAUGGUUAAACAUUAUUAGAACAUAUUUGAUGCAUAUUACAUUUUCAAAAAAAAACACCCCAAAACCCCACCACCCCAUAUAUUUCAUUAACACCCCAUUUCCACCAUAUCUAGCUAUUUGUCUCAAAACUGUCUUCUCUCAAUCUAAAGCUGUACCUCAGCCCCAUCACACUUCUUAAAAUAUAGGCUGAAAACAAUCUCUUAGGGCAGGGAUAACCAAUUGAUAGGCUAGAGGCAGUCAGUGAAGCAAUUCCCAUGCUCCACAAAAUUUCAACAUGUUGCAGUAGAGUGCUCACAGUUUCAUUUAUAAGGGGAAACAUUUCUAUGUUAUGAGAUGGAGAUAUUCUACACUUUAAUGUUACAUCUGUCCUUGAAUUUUCUUUAGUUAUGCUUCCUACUUCUCCAAGGGGUCAGACAUCCAAGGGCAGCCCUGAGAGUUGUGCUUCCCUUUGGGUGAGCGAGAACACUGAAAAGAAAACUUUCUAGGAGGUAAAGUAUCAGGUUGCAAUGUAGGCGGCAGAGUUGGUACUGCAGGGGGCUCUAUUACAAGUUCCUGCCUAAAAAAUUCCCUUAGCCACUGUGUGGCUCUAGGAGAGAACGGAUCUUUACUCACAACGAGAGACGCGGAAGGAGCCGGUGCAGGAAAAUCCUCGUUGGCGGGUUCGCUGGUGGUGACGAAGCCCACGAAAUCUCCCCCAAUAAGCCCUCCGUGGGUAAGGGGUCAGUCGCCGGUAGGAUGCCCACUGGGCACCGGCCGCCCUGCUCUGUCUUUGUGCACUUCUUAUGGCCAUCCUUGUUCUUGGCACCAUUGGUUUUAGAGCGGCAGCAAACAGCCUGAAUCAGUAACUGCUCGCGCGCUUGUGUCCCUCUGCUCUGACCAGGGACUCUUUGCGUUUCUUUUUCUUUUUAGUAAUGUGUUCCCCUGAGUGCUUGAAUUUUUUGGUUGCCUUUGUGGGUAUUUGCCCCGGCAUGGUGGCCUCUAUUGCCAGCGCCACCGGCGCGGCAGGAACAGAAGACAAGGUCAGAGUCGCAUCGGGAGAAACCGCUGAAGCGGAUUGAUCCUCCUGCGCGUUGCCCAGGUGCUGUGGGAACAACGAGGCGACCAACAUCAAUCCCUGCAAAAGCUCCUUGGCAUGGGCUGUGUCCAUGAGGACCAUUAGAGAACAGUAAAAAACAACGGAAAAGACUAACUUUAUAUGAACAACCAAUAAAGCCAAAUUUAAAGUUAAAAGUCAAUUUAGGAAGUCAAUUUUUCGAUACCGAAUGGAGUGCAAACUGUCCUCCCACCCUUGCACACGCUGGGUGGGAGAGGAGAGGAGGCAGACAGAAUAAAGAGAGGAAUAGCAGUAAAUUUUUAAGCUGAAAAAACAGACUGGAAAGUAGUUUGAAUAAAUCGACAAGAUGAGCUCUCUCUGAAAGGUCUAGUCCCGAGCGAGACAGAACUGGAACUAGGGAGCCAGCUACGCCUACAAAGAGUCACACGGUCCAGUUCUGUCUCGGGCAUGCACAGUUCCUAACCCUUCCUGAGGAUCUCCUACCACCAGGGGAAAAAUAAUGCUUCUGGCUCCUGAAACACCACCUAGAGAACAGAGUGAUUUCCAAGCUCACAGGAUAGGCCACUGUCUAGUUUCAGGACAGGCAUAUUGGCACCGUCUAUACCUAAAGCAGGGAUGAUCAGCUUUUGCAAUCUUGGGAAUCACCAUCAUGACCCACAGCCUUGAGCAACAGUCUGACCCUGAGGAGUCAGGCCAGAGGGGUGUCACUUCUGCCAUUUUCCACACUAUGUACUUCUCCACACCAACAGCAAUGGCCAAUCUGCACACCAACAGCAAUGGGCCUGGAGAGACUUGAUGGAGUGGGAAAGUGCUAGAUUCCAAGCCAGAAGACUGCCCCUUUAAAUCUCUCACCAUUUCAGGCAAGCAGGCAGAGCCUGGGAGGUUUAGUCUGAACCUAAUGGUAUUUAAGACUAGGGAUGUGCACGAAUAUAUUUUUUUCUAUUCGAUUUAUACCUGAAGCGAAUCACCGCCAAUUUGUUUUGGGUCCAAAUCUGGUCAGCUAGCACAGGGGUGAUUUGUUUUGUCCCAAAAUCUUCCAAAACAGGUAGAUUUGGGUACAAAUCAUUUUGUAGACAAAUCGAUUCACACAAACAGCAGGUGCAGGCAGUGAUUCUCUCAGCAGCAAGAAGGGGGUAAAAAAAAUUCUCUUUUCCUCAAUCAUGAAAGCAGGAACAACAAAACAGAGAAUCCACUCCACGCAGCAGGCAUGCAAGGUAAAGCAAAGCUCCUCUGGCUCUCUCUCUCUCUCUCUCUCUCUCUCUCUCUCUCUCUCUCUCUCUCAUGAGGCACGGUGACUGGCUGCCUCCUUAAGUACAUUUGAAAAUCCCUCCUUUGAACUCCCCCCAGCCUUGUCCUUUCUUUGACCCUUCCCUUAGUCCAAGUGGGAUCAGUCAACCAUGGCAACACAAGAUUUGAAUGGAAAUGAGCCAAUCUGGAACCAGGGGGAAUCGCCAGCCCAUCGUUGCACACUGUAAGUCACCAAUUUGAAGCUUAGGAGGGUAGGAUUUUCAAAAAUAUUUCCUGACACAAAAUUGAUACACAAAAUGGAGGUCUGAAUCUACACAUUUUUCAGGUCCAAAAUCUGGGCAAUUUGUUUUGGUCCCGAAUCUGGCCAGCUAGCACAGGGGCGAUUUGUUUUGUCCACAAAUCUCCCAAAACAGGUACAAAUCAUUUUGUAGUCAAAUCAAUUCACAUAUCCCUAUUUAAGACCUCAUUCCAACUCUGGUCCUCAUCGGAGCAAAUUGCUCACUUGCAGUUACCCAGGGUUCUCCAAGCCCAAGUGCCUUGACAGUUCCUGAUUAUGGUACAGGACAAUUAUUUUAUACAUCUCACCUAGCAAAAACUCUUCAGCAACAAGCAAAAACUACAUGGGCAAGAAUAAUGACUCAGUUAAUUCCCAUGCCAGUGCUGCCUGCUCCUCAAGCUUUAUUGUUUAUUAUUAUUAGAAUAUUUAUAUACUGCUUUUCUACAAAAACAUUUUCAAAACAGCUUAUACAGAAACAUUUCAUUGAUCUAUCCUUCACUCUGAAACUGAUUGAUUCCUGAAAACAUGUCCCUGGGGGUCAUGUGGCCCUCAUGGACAUAUUUUUGGGAGUCACAGUAGGCUUCAGAGAGAAGGAGAGAUGAACCAAUAUUGCCCCUUCCCCAUAGCACCAGUGCAGCAUUAGCAGCACUAGUGCUUUGUUAGUCUGGAUGUCAGUCAUUAGACAAAUUCAUUUAUUUUGGGGGAGGUCAGAAGAACAGAAAUCAUUUAUACCACUUUGUGCAAUGCUUCUAUAUUCUAUACAUGACGUCACAUCUUUUUCAGAAGUGACAUCAUGACAUUACAUUUCUCCUUCCUUCCUUCUUUUCUAAUAUCUUUCUUACAUUUGAACUUCUUUCCUAAUUUUCUCUGGUUAUCUCGAUUUUAUUCUUGUAUUCUGUACAUUGUUAAAAAAUGAACAUUAAAUUUUAAAAAUCAUUUUUAGGUUAAUUUCCUCAUUUUUAGGUUAAUUCCACACCUCAAACACAUUCUCCUCCAAUGUUUAUUCAACUGCAAUUUUCAAACUGUGAUUAGGCAACAUAAAUAUCUCACAGCUGAAGUACUCGAUAAAUAGUUAUUAGGUAUAUUAACUAUCAAUAUACGACACUUUGUGUUUGCUUACUAAUUUUACAGCUAAGUAUAUGUUUUAUCAUAUAAAGGCUUUGAAAGAAACAAAAGAAAUUAUGAAAAGUGAGGCAUUAUUAUGCUCUUCCCACUCAGAGGCCUCUCUGUUCAUCUAAAUACAUUAAUUUGUAUGGUAAACAUUGGCAUUUGAUGGGAGAAGGAAGUGGGAAUCAAACGUAUGUCUAUUUAUUUCUUUUUUCAGGCAGUCCUGCAAAAUUUGUGCUAAAUAGAAUAGGGAUAAUGGCUGGACCUCUUUGGUUUUUUAAAAAAAUCCAAAAUGGCACCUCCAUAUGGUAAAUAUUUAUUUAUUUAUUUAUGUAUUUAUUUAUUUAUUUAUUUAUUUAUUUUAUUGGAUUUAUAUACUGCCCUUCCAAAAUGGCUCAGGGCAGUUAAUACACUAAUAAUUGGACAUUUGCUGCCCUUUAAUAUAAUCAAGAACUGCUUCCUGGGCUAGAUGCUUCAUUUUUCUUUUUGGUAUGGCUCACAAGGACAAACCCCCCCCCCCCCCAGGUUCACACUUUCACUCAUUAAUUCUGACAAAAUCAAAAUGACAAGAUCUCCACAGAGGAGAUAGCAGUUCUUUUUCUCAUGCAAAUGCCCCUUAGCCUUUGGAGUGUAGGGUGCUCCCCAGAGGUCCUGAGAUCUAUCUCCAGAGCUCUCAUUUAUGCUGAUGUGUUGAGAAGGUAAGAAACUGUAGGAGUCUCUUCCAAACAAGAGAAGAGAUUCCUGCUGUUUGUUUUUUUUUAAAAAAACUUGUUUCCAUAUCCUAGCACAAAUGACUCUACCUCUCUCCUGAGCCCUCUGCACAUGCCAGAAGACUCAGGGAGGGGAAGGAGUAGGUGGUGACAACAGACUAUGGCUGGCUAGUAGACCAAGCCAAUAUUUGUUGACCUUUAUUCCCUUCGACCCCAGACAAUGUCCAUCAAAUGUAUUUUUUCAUACUCAGUUUAUU